This 301-nucleotide ribosomal RNA is filed under the name uncultured bacterium. RNAcentral's name for it is "partial 16S ribosomal RNA". It matches the Rfam family "Bacterial small subunit ribosomal RNA", at positions 509 to 807 of the family's 1533-position model. The record is from RNAcentral.
CAGUCGCCGCGGUAAUACGGAGGGUGCAAGCGUUAUCCGGAUUUAUUGGGUUUAAAGGGUCCGUAGGCGGAUCUGUAAGUCAGUGGUGAAAUCUCACAGCUUAACUGUGAAACUGCCAUUGAUACUGCAGGUCUUGAGUAAAUUUGAAGUGGCUGGAAUAAGUAGUGUAGCGGUGAAAUGCAUAGAUAUUACUUAGAACACCAAUUGCGAAGGCAGGUCACUAAGAUUUAACUGACGCUGAUGGACGAAAGCGUGGGGAGCGAACAGGAUUAGAUACCCGAGUAGUCCCUGUCUCUUAUAC